UUUCGUCUUCUACUUCAAGUGCUGAAACUACUGAACAAUCGAAUAAAAGGAAGAGGGAAUCAAUCAAGAGGACUCUUUUCACCAACAAUGAGCAAAGAGAAAUGGAAGAAGUUUCAGAGGCGGAUCCAAGGGAGUUUGAUGAAGUUCCAAUAAAGUUGCUCAAAAAGAAAUCGUCACCAACUAGCGGAAAACUUGGUACCACUCCUGAAAAAACCAACUAGCUUGCUUGCUUAAGGAUGAACGAUGCAGUGCCAAAACUCAUCUCCGAUACUGAAAUGCAAUAACCGUUUUUUUGUUAAUAUGUAUCAAACAAUAUUGAUAAUAUUUGGCUGCCAUGUAAAUGUCUCUCUGGUCUGGACUUCAUAAUAUUUUUUGCAUGAACAAUAUUUGGCUGCCAUGUAAAUGUCUCUCUGGUCUGGACUUCAUAAUAUUUUUUUGUAUGUACAUGCUGGUUCCACUUGAGAGGUAGAUGCAAAUGGUAGAAUCCAAUCAAUCACUUUAUGUCUUUUUUUUUUUUUUUUUU
This is a long non-coding RNA of Pyrus x bretschneideri (Chinese white pear), 523 nucleotides long. RefSeq lists it as uncharacterized. The record is from RefSeq and is a predicted model, not a curated record. The transcript has 3 exons. Lineage: Eukaryota; Viridiplantae; Streptophyta; Magnoliopsida; Rosales; Rosaceae.